GACGAACGCUGGCGGCGUGCUUAACACAUGCAAGUCGAACGCUGAAGACCUGGCUUUUGUUGGGUUGGAUGAGUGGCGAACGGGUGAGUAACACGUGAGUAACCUGCCCUCUUCUUUGGGAUAACGCCCGGAAACGGGUGCUAAUACUGGAUAUUCACUGGCCUUCGCAUGGGGGUUGGUGGAAAGGUUUGUUCUGGUGGGGGAUGGGCUCGCGGCCUAUCAGCUUGUUGGUGGGGUGAUGGCCUACCAAGGCUUUGACGGGUAGCCGGCCUGAGAGGGUGACCGGUCACAUUGGGACGGAGAUACGGCCCAGACUCCUACGGGAGGCAGCAGUGGGGAAUAUUGCACAAUGGGCGAAAGCCUGAUGCAGCGACGCCGCGUGAGGGAUGGAGGCCUUCGGGUUGUAAACCUCUUUCGCUCAUGGUCAAGCCGCAACUGUGGGUUGUGGUGAGGGUAGUGGGUAAAGAAGCGCCGGCUAACUACGUG
Molecule: ribosomal RNA, 486 nt
Filed under: uncultured bacterium
Lineage: Bacteria
Description: partial 16S ribosomal RNA
Rfam family: Bacterial small subunit ribosomal RNA
Source: RNAcentral